CAGACGGCGCUGCCCGGGCUGUGCUCCGCCGCUCCCCUGUUCCGCUUCCUGCGGGAGCGUUCUCCGGGCCCGCAGCCAUCGCCCGGCGCUGCCCCCACCGAGGAGAGUGGGCCCGGCGGGGCCAUGGCGGACGAGGCGCAAGGUGAUGUGCACAUGGUAGAAGCAGAUGUUGUUCUUCGUGGUGGCCAGGAGGGAAAUGGAGACCCUAUCAUGGCUCAUCCACCUGAAACAGAUAGUGACAACACGUUGCAGGAGUGGCUGAAAGAGAUUGUCAACACGGAUAAAGGCAUCAAGCUGGAUUUUAAGAGGUAUAUAAAGGAGAAAAAGAUUUUUAUAUUGUUUGUGUUCUUGCUAAUAAAAGUUUUACAAGCAGAGCUAACUAUCUUUUUGGCGAUGGUAGACCAAAGUUUUUCUUAUAGUGCAAUUUAGUGUAAUGCAUUUUUUCCUGAACAGAAAAUGAGCAAACAGAGUUAGAAUUACUAAAUGCAUCACAGAAAUAAAAGCUUUAGAAAUGUUUUGAGCUAUAAAUAAUUAUUUCAUAUUCGGUGAAUUAGUUACUGAGUUGCUAAUGAGCAGAGUUUUCCCAUCAGGAAAACUGAAAUGAUGGUACCUAUCUGGAAAGCUUGUGGAAAGUUUUCUGCUUGUGGAAAGAGACUGGGAAAGACAGCCUUCCAGCUGGGAAGCCCAGCAGUGUCUCCCAGGCUGCAAAUGGGGCUGAGAUGGCAUCUCUGCUUGGCAGCACACAAGUCUCUUCUCCUGCUUUCUUGGUGGUGUUCUCUGCCAUGGAAGCGCAAUCAAAAGUCAAGCUUUUUCAAGGAGCUUCUGAAAAGCUUGCUGAAAAGCCAUAUCUGAAAUGUGCUGAAGUUUACUGUAAUUUAGAAACAUCAUCCCGUAGUAGCAUAAAUAUCUGUAUUUUCCCAGAGCUGUUUAUUUUUCCCUUCCCAAAGGAGAGGAAUUCUGUUUUCUGAUUAACUCCAAUACUGAUAGUCUCAGUUCCAGAAUUAGGUAUGCUCCUUUGAAUAUCUGAUCUUGUAACACACAACAAUGUGGUAUUAGAUUUCUUCUGCAUGGUUUGUAAUACAGAAAAUUGUUCUUGCUUUUUGUGUGGUAGGGUGCAUGUAUAUUGAAGUAAAUUCAGUUUCUUUGGCCUAACUUAUGAAUUAAAAUUUUCAGGGGUUCAUUUAGAAUUUUAACCAUUAGCUGUUCCAUUGCGUGUAACGGAAAAUACACAUGAAAACCCCAUAGAUUUCCUUGAAAAGCUAGCAGUGGGGUUCAAAGUGAGUUGAGAUUUUCAGACAUACACCUUUGCAAGCCCUGACUUUAGCUUUGUCUGAAUUUGCAUGUACAACAUCUAUUUUUGCAGCAGAUGGAGAAUCCACCUCCACGUUAAAAAAAGCUUCAUCAGUACCUAAGUAUGCUAUAGAAAUGCAAAACAAAAUGCUAGACAGUUGUAAAAUGUGAUUUGUACCUGUUGUUCUCUGUAACGCAAUCACAGUUUUCACGUAAAAGUUCAUGAAAAUGAAAAGAUGUGGACAGAUUAAAUCCUUUUAUUGUUACAGAGUCUGUAGAUGUCUGCCAGGACAGAGAAGGGAAAGGAGAAGAGAAGCAGACGUUUGUUUGGGGGUAUUUGUUACGGUUUGGUUGGUUUUUGUUGGGUUUUUGGAGCGGGGUGUUCUUUUUAAUUAUUGUUUGAAUUGAUUUUAAAAUUACCUACUUCUUUUCACAAGGAAUUUCCAGCCGAGUGCAGUGAUUUUAAAAGAGCUUUUAAAAUUAUGUUGCAUUAUAAAAGUCUAGUUACAUAAAAGCAUAUAAAAAAUAUAAGUACACAAUGCAGUUGUAGCCAAAUGAGUGAUGUUCUUUGGCAUUUCUUUGUAACUGGGAAGAUAGGGAAGCAGUUAACCAUCAUCUGUGUUGUUCAAAUAGGCACUCUUAACAGUGCCUUCUCAUCCCCUUCGUUUUCCUGGUGCUCCUGUGACACCCAGGGGGACCAGUUUAGGAUGUGGAACUGGGAAACUAAGUCUGCAGAGCAACAUGAAGAACUUUGCAUUGGCUCAGCUCUCUGUCAGGUCUGCAAGAUUUUGAGGAAAAAGCUGGAACAUGGCUCAUUCAGAGUUUGCACAGCUCUCGGAGAAAACAUGGGUCAUUGCUGUUAGUAAGGAAAUCACAACUCUGGUCAUAAUGAUUUUAAAUUCCUGAAUGUUAUAUAGAGCAUUAAUUAAUUUGCUGUGAGAGAAAAAUACAUAUUUUAUUUGCAUUCAUACCCUUUCCCCGUUUUCCCACAUUUCCUUUCCUUCUAGAAUAUUGCUGGUUUCAAAAGUUUUAGUAGGAUAGAGAAAGGUUAUUGUUUGCCCUGUAGUUAUGCUUUUUCUUAUGAUUUGAGAGAAGAGUGAGAAUAGGUGACUUAAGUUAUCUUAUUAAAUGCUUACAAGUGGUGCUGCAUUGGUUGCUCAAGUGACUACAUCUCAUACUUAGUAACUACCUGUAGGAUGAACAGCUAACGGACAGACUUCUUCAUGCUGCCACUAUUAUGCCAGGCUUUUGAGCUGUGGGAACAAGCCCUGCCACGGACAAAAUGUUCAUAUGGGUGCCCUUUCACUCUGCUAAAAUUAUCUGAAAAUGUUCAGGUUUUGACUUUUUAUUCUCCUAGUAUAGGUGCAUCAACUUGUGCAGAUGUGAAGGUAACUUUCAGUCUGUUGGCUGGAUUUGAAAUAGUGAUAAAAGCUUUAACACUGAAAGUGCUAUUAGGGUUGGGAAAGAUUACUUUUACCCUUUGAAUAGCAUAUAAACGUCAGUGAUAUAUAGAGAAUAAAUAGAAUAAAUAUAUUUAAAUUCAUUUAUUUCUAAUUUUUCGGAUUAGAAAGCCACAAUUACUAGUUUGUGGCUAACUUCACGUAAUACUAUGAAUGCUAUCUUCAGCCCAGUAGUCUAAUCUGAACAAAUCCAGUGGCUUCCUGGAUUAAAAUCCUUUGCAAGCAUUCAAUAUCAUCCAAGUCUUAACAAGUUACAAGUUAGAAGAGCCAUGAGGUAAGAGUUCGUACUGGGAGGCAGGGAGAUGAGAAACUUCCAGUACUGUUUACCAGCAGUAAUAGUCACCUGAUGGUAGAAAGGGUCCUCAGGCUGACAGGUACAGCUUCAUUGAAAUAUCUAUCUUGUGUAUAUACUGUACAUUUCCCAUCUUCAGUCCAAGUGAAGUGUCUCAUCUCACUCAUGUGUUACUGGUACAGCCUAGAAGCCGUACGGCCUUCCUUGGAGCUUCUUGAACACAUGAAGCACCACUUGAGGCGACCCAUUUGGAUCAAUGCAGACAUCCUACCGGGACCUAAUGGCAGUAGCUCUGUAGUGGAUGCAAAAGGGUUCAUCGCCACUGUCACCUCAUUUUUCCCAAAUGUGACCUUAUCACUAGGGUGGACAACUGGCUGGCACCCUGACAAGCACAAUAAAGGCUAUGACUGGAUGAUGGUGAAGGAAAUGGCUCAGAUAUGCAACACACUUCUCCAGCCUGUAACUUUCCCUGUAAGAGCAGCACUGGUACGAGAGUCAGUAUCUGAGCUGUGCUGGUUAAUCCAGCAGUCGGAUAGGUACAGUCUCACUGUUUGGACAGGAAAAGAAGAUGUGUAUUUUGUAGAAGAUUUGCUUUACAUCCGAGAAAACUUCGAUAAAAGUAGGAUUUAUUAUGACAUUUUAGAGCCACAAAAUUCUGAAUUCAGAAAAGCCAUAGUAGAAUAGUAAAUAGGGAAGCAGUAAAUAGGGAAGGCUAAUACUUUGCCUCUUUAAACGUGAAGAUUUGUUGGUCAAAGUGUGUUUUCCUUACUAAAAGAACACAGCUGAGGAUAUUGGAGUUUUUGUAUAACACCUUACUGAAAGGCUUCUCAAAUAGAAAUUUAGUGCCUUCUUAAUAGUUCCUUACUCAUCAUCUGCAUGUCCCCUCUCAUUUAUCCAGGGGCGAUUUUUAUCUUAUUUACCUAGUAAAGGCUAGUCAUAUUACCUGAAUGUUCUAGCACUUCUUCUCUGCAAGCAUAUAAAGUGGAGAAUGGCCCCAGCUUGUACUUGUGGACCAAGGUGAUUUGCUGCUAACUGCUUUCAUGUAAGCCAAAGUUUUUGGGACUCUCAGUCUCUACUAAAGCCUGUUUCUACUUUUAUGGGGGAGGGCAAGAAUCAGGACUGUGUUAAUUACAAAACUAUGCAGUUCCCAAAGGGGUUAUUUUGUAGCUCAUCAUGAUACACUCCAUUUUUAAUGUCAUUGCAAUUUGAUAAUGUUCUCACUCCUGUGUUUGCAGUGAAGUAGCAUGUUAGUACUUUCUUCUAGCUACGAUUACUUCUGAUAUGUCUGCUGCAAAUUACUGUAAUUAUUGUAUGGUGACCCUGAGGAAAUACUCACUCCACACCUCAAUUACUCUAGAUGAGGUGUUAACGUCUCUGUUCCUUACUCAGGAGCAGUUAACUCCGGCAAAUGGGUGCAAUAAGCAGCUGGGGGUAACGUCUCAGACUGCCACAGCAGAGCUUAUUCAUUAAAACCUCAAAGAAAGCAGCAUUGGUUUUGAUUGUGUUUCCAGUGUAAUUCGAAGUAUCAUACCCUAUCAUCUUCUGAAUUUUGAACAUCUAAGUUUUUGGGGCAGUUUUAUGUUGUUUUUUAUAUCCUUAUGGCUUGGCUCCCUUCAAUUUUUCAGUGAUCCUGAAAAGAAAAAAAAAAAAAGCUGCUGCUUUUGCUGACCAAUUUUGAGUCCUUGCGUUGCUGUAGCAGGAAAAAAAGUACUGCAUAAUGCAGAUUCGUAGUCUCAGUGGGGAUAUGUCCAAGCAGAAUUAAAAUGUGUUUUAAAAAGGUGUUCUUGUUACUGUGUUUUUAAAAUGUAUGUUGAAGUCAGGUUUGUAUUUUAAAAUGGGCUGGCUUUUGGAAGAGAAGACUGUAACUCACGCCAUCGGGGGCAGCUUAUGGAAGUGUUCAAAACCACUGAUGCCUUCAGGAAAAACAUACGGGAAUUAAUUAGAGUUCAUCACUGUGCGCCCAUGCCUGGAUUUCAGGAAUUUGGGAAUCUUAAGGUCUUAGCAUGGUUUUUAAGUGGCUGAACAUAAAUUCACUUUUUUUUUUUUGCUUGGGACACAACCUCUGAAUUAGAUCUGCAAUGCAGUGCUAGCACAGGAAGUGCCAUCUUUAUGCUUAAGUUUAAAGUAAGUGGUUUUGACUUCAUGCUGGUAACUCUCAGUCCUCUGGCGCUGCCUUAGGGGUUGGGCUGUUGGUACAUUGGCUUCCUGAACCCCAGUUCAGAUGCGCAGCGUGGCUGAGGUGAGCCGUGCUUUGACCUGGAGGCUGGACAAGACCUCUAGAGGUUAUUUUUUUUAUGAUAUAAUGACAAAUUUCACCAUUUACAUAGUACCUACUGCCGUAGAGGAUUAAUUCAGACUCAGAAGGAGAUCUAAGUAAUUCUGUAAUUCUGUUUGGUUACUACAAGCUUACUUUCAUCUUUGUUGAGCUUUAACGGAUGCUUGCAAGGAAUUUAAGUAAAGAAUUUGUGCAACAUGAUGGCUGCUGUUGCCAGGGAGCCUCAGUACCUAACUGAAGACCUCAGGUUCUGUUGCCCAUUCUGUGCCAGCAAAAAGAAGGAAGCUUGUUUUAGUUCUGUAAAAUGACAAAGCCAAGGAUGUUCCUAUGAGGUCUGUGCCAUUUUCAACAUACACAGUUGGCCAAAGAGAGGUGACUCCGGUAAUAGGUGUCCUUUGGGGAACAUAUAUUUUGCAUAUGUAUAUAUAUUUUAAAAUAAGGUUUAAGUCAUGUAAAGGAGUAUCAGACCUCUUUUGAAAAGGAUUAAUAGCUGGGUAUUUUAUCAGAACAAUUAGUCGCUAGAAUUGGAAUUUUCACUCUGAAAAAAACAAAGUGGAACUGAUUUCUUAAGAUUUACCCUUGCCAAACCUGGUCUCCUUGAAGGUAUUACAGUGCCAGCUGAAAAUGUGUGGCUGGGAAAUAUUUUACAACAGGCAUUCCUCCCUCUAAUUCUGGAUUUCAACAUUAAUUAGAAGAAGAAUAGUAAUACAGUGUGAAUGUCCUUAUAAGGAUGUGACUAAUACUUGUGACUAAUGUUGGCCUUUCUGUAACAAUCCAUGCUCUUGUGAUAUGAACCAAAUAGCCAGCCAGUGGAAUAACGGUUUACUAAUGUAAGAAUCCAUUCAUGUUUAAAUACCUACUUUUAGUUGAAAAAUUAAAUAGUUGUACUGUAUAACAGAUGCAGAAAGAUGAAGGUCUUAACAAGGAUUCAUGAUGGAGGGAAAAAAGAGGGAUUUAGUGACUGUUUUAGUUACUAUUCUUCUUGUGUAGCUGCAUCAAAAUAUGGCAGUAUUCUUUUGGAAGCACUGCAUAAUUGUCAAAGACAAAAAUCAAAACAAAGCAACUCCAAAUGCCUUUCUCCUUAAGGUAAACAGACAAAAAGUGCAGGGAGGGCUAGAUUGAAACUGUUACUUAAACUCUGAAAACUGCUUUUUUACAUCAUUCUUGUGUAGUGUCUUGCUGUCCUUACAGUUCUUAAACCAGAAUACGAAGGUUUUUCAGAUGGUCACUGCCUUUUAUGAGGCCACCACUGCUUGUGUAGCAGUUACUUUCAUUGUAUGGUGUCAUGGUUUAAGCCAGCCCAGGACAUACGGUUUCACACAGCAUUUUGUGGAGAAAAUUAAAACCAAAAGUAAAAAAAAACCCUAAUGUUUUUCACCUUUUUAAACUUUGAUUCCAAAUCAGUCUUCUCAUCAGUGAUGUGUUUUACUGAAAGCUGUAACCUGGGUUGGCAAGAGUGCUUUCUCACAGACAUAUCACUACUGUUUUAUAUAGUUCUUAACUGUUUAAGGGUUUUAUGGCAUUAAUCUGUCUAUGAGAUAGAGUAGAUGACUAACACUAAUUUUUCACUGUAAGGUGUGAGAACUAGCCCAGGUUCUUAAGAGCACCUCUGAAGAGAAAAGGUUUCAGCUUGUGACUUUUUUUUACCAAGACGCAUAAAGAACACCUGCUUUUGUUGUUUGUAAACUUAAAAGUUUCAGGGAGGUAUUUAACAUUAGAAAUUCAGGUCUUGCUUCCCACUAGAGCACAAGUCUCAUAAGGAGCAGCUGAGGGAACUGGGGAUGUUUAGUCUGGAGAAGAGAAGGCUCAGAUUGGACCUUAUCGCUCUGUACAACUACCUGAAAGGAAGAUGGAGCCAAGAGGUGGCUGGCCUCUUCUUCCGAGGAACAAGGGAUAGGACAAGAGGAAAUAGCCUCAAGCUGCACCAGGGGAGGUUUAGACUGGAUAUUAGGAACAAUUUCUUCCCCGAAAGGGUGUUCAGGCAUUGGAACAGGCUGCCCAGGGCAGUGGUGGAAUCACUGUCCCUGGAAGUGUUCAAAAACUGUGUAGACGGGGCCCUCGGUGACAUGGGUUAGUGGUGGCCAUGGCAGUGCUGGGGAACGAUUGGACUUGAUGAUCUUGAAGGCCUUUUCCAACCUAGUUGAUUCUAUGAUUCUUUGCUCAGACAACUGGAAAAUGACAAGGAUUACAAAUUCAGACAUCAUCUCCACUGAAGUGGAAGCACAGUCAGCCUCUGAGAGAGGGAAAGAGCCUCUCUCACACAAUACUUUGUACAAAUUUAGCCAUGUUGGAACAAGUCUUACCAACUGUUUCAGUUUUCUUGUAUAGAGACAGCCUGAGAAACACUUAGGAGCCAGUAUGUUUGGUAGUGACUCAGUGUCUCCUAAGUAGUGUAUAAAUGGAUGUAUCUAUUUGCAUGCCCCCUGAAUGGGGAAAAAACUUUUAUUUGUGCAUCGUAACAACAUCAAGAGAGCAAAAGUGAAUUGUUUUUCCUUUGAAGGAAAUGCAACAAUAAACAGUAACAUUAAACUUUCACAUUAUUUCUGCAUCAAAAUGAAGCAUAGAAUAUUGGCAACACCACAGAAGAGCUUCACUUCUUCAAGACAUUUGCAUUUUCCCCCAUUUUCUGAGCAUUUUGCAAGAAAAAUGCCGUUUCAGUUGAGGGAGCAGAUCCUGUGUAAUCAAUACAGCAGAUAUUUGGCUUUAUACCUCCAGCAAAGACACCAAUAACAUUUGAUCUGUGAGAUGAUUUUUUUUUUCCCUAAAAAAAAGAAUUUGGUUUUUUUUAAAGAUACAUCUUUAACUUCAAAUAUUUAACUUCAUUAUGAGGUGAACAGAUCACAAAUUUCCCUUUCUUUUUAUAAUAGCAUGAAAACAUUUGAAAAGUCUGUUGUGCCUGUACAUGGUGUUUACAGGGACCAGUAUGUACCCAGUUAAUAUAAUACUGACAUAUGUUCUUCCACAUCAUUUCUCUGCCAUAAAAAGAUUUCUAUAUA
Molecule: RNA transcript, 8313 nt
Organism: Strigops habroptila (Kakapo)
Lineage: Eukaryota; Metazoa; Chordata; Aves; Psittaciformes; Psittacidae
Gene: FAM151B
Gene name: family with sequence similarity 151 member B
Exons: 4
Source: RefSeq, a predicted model, not a curated record